Molecule: ribosomal RNA, 507 nt
Filed under: uncultured bacterium
Lineage: Bacteria
Description: partial 16S ribosomal RNA
Source: RNAcentral
GGAGUUAGCCGGUGCUUCUUCUGUGAGUGAUGUCCUUCCUGCCGGCUAUUAACCCGCAGGCCUUCUUCCUCACUGAAAGUGCUUUACAACCCGAAGGCCUUCUUCACACACGCGGCAUGGCUGGAUCAGGGUUGCCCCCAUUGUCCAAUAUUCCCCACUGCUGCCUCCCGUAGGAGUCUGGGCCGUGUCUCAGUCCCAGUGUGGCUGAUCAUCCUCUCAGACCAGCUACGGAUCGUCGACUUGGUGAGCCGUUACCUCACCAACCAGCUAAUCCGACAUAGGCUCAUCCGAUAGCGCGAGGCCCGAAGGUCCCCCGNUUUCCCCCGUAGGGCGUAUGCGGUAUUAGCCUGGGUUUCCCCAGGGUUAUCCCCCACUACCGGGCAGAUUCCUAUGCAUUACUCACCCGUCCGCCGCUCGCCACCAGGGAGCAAGCUCCCCGUGCUGCCGCUCGACUUGCAUGUGUUAGGCCUGCCGCCAGCGUUCAAUCUGAACCAGAUCAAAUUCUGA